CUAACCUUAUAUUGUAAGAUUAACUUCAGUAAAAUUUACUUAACUUUCAUAAACAAAUGUGAAUUUUCUUGUUUUUUUUCUUUAUGUUAAAAUGAUAGAAUUAAAUCAGAACCUCUUUGAGAUUCUUACCAUGUGGUGUCAUGGCCACCAUGCUAAACGGUAAACUCUGUGCAAAAUUAACAGCAGAAUGCUUAUAUCAAGGUUUCCCCUCUUCACAAUAAGGUUAUUUUAAAUUAUGACCAUGAAAUGUGUCUACUAACAUCAAGAGCCAAGAAAUAUAUUUGACAAUAACAACAACAAAACUCUGGGAAGAGUAAUAUUACCAAAAGUUACUACCACAUUUUUAUUGGCGUGUGAAAAGGAAGUAGAAAUUUCUCACCUCAGUAAUAUUAGGAGUCUUUUAAUCAUAUUUUUCACACUAGUCAAGAUUUGUCCCAGGUACUAAUUCUAACUUUUAAAAUCUUUUUUCCUGUAGCUUUCUGGAUAUUGUAAAAAUGCUGAAUAAGUUUGUAAUUAUGUAAGUUUCAUAGAGCUUUAUUUUGGGGUGAGAGUUUUUGUUAUAGUUUAUAAAAGAUAUUUUCCUAUUUAGACCUCAGGGCUAUUUGGGGACCUACAAAUAAAUGUGAUACCAGCUGUUUCAAUUCUUGAUAUCUAAAAGGUUAAUCAUUUUUAAGUUAAAUAGGAUAUAUAAGUUAGCAGAAAGAAUGUCUUUCCCUUUUAACUUCUAAUAAACUGUAUCUAUAGUUUAAAAAGUGUAAGAGAAAAGAUGUUGUCAUAUAAAAAUGUGGGGAAACUGUGGCUACAUAAUUAAAAAUCACUUGUGAAAUAAAAAAUAAAAUCCUCUUUUUUUUAAACUUUACUUAUGAGUUGGGUCAAAUAAAGCCCCAUACAACUUCAAUCACUGUCCUGACAUUUUGUCUGCUUUUGAACUUUGUACAGAAACAUAAAAAUUAAAUAGUGUUAUAGGUUGACAAAAAAAUAGAUGGACAAAUGUAUGAUAUAUGUUGAUUCUCCACUUCUACAAUCUUAAUCACUAUUUUUCUUUUACCUUGAACAUUAACACUAAAUUUUUCAAGAUAUAAUUUCUUUAACAUAGGGAUACCAAUUAUGUUUUAUUUCCCUUUUGUUAAAAAAUGAUGUUGAAUCUUUUCUCUUUUUUUAAAUUUUCAAGUAUAUCAAUAUUCUAGUUAAUAGAAAUAAUACUUCUCCAAGUAUAUAUUUGCUGCUCAUUUUUAAUCUCUAUGCUGACAACAUAAUCCCAAUUAUGGACAAAUAUAUUUUUCUUUCUUGGUUUAUUCUCUGAAGAUUGGAUAAAAGGCAUUUUAGUGACUCCACAAUUCUUUUGGAAAGAGAUCUCAAAACUAAGUUCUUUCAUUCUUCAUUUUCAACUCAACUGUAUGACGAAAUGUGUUCCAAAAGUAACUGGAAUUGUUCAUAAUUCAUGCUUUCCUGGAGAUAAGAGUCUUUAAAAUUAUUAACUAGAAGCUUCUCUGCACUAUGAUCAGGUUAAUAGAGAUUAUUACAAAGAGGAUGUACAUAGGCUAACUGUAAAUACUAUGCCAAUUUACAUAAGGAUUUGAGAACUGGCAAAUCUGGGAAUAUUCAGAGGGGUUCCUGAAACCAAUCCCCCACAGAAACCAAGGAGCAACUGCAUAUUUUUUUUUAAAGGAACAGCUCCUAAUGCACUUUUUUGGUUCUUUCUCUGCAAUUAUGCUAACAAGUAUCAUGCUGAGAAAGGAUUAGUCCUGAUGGACAAUCAAAGACAAUGCUUCCUUCCUGGUAAAAAGGUGAGAAAAGAUGUUGGCAUCUGAGCUGCAGUUAUUAGGCAUUGCAGCAGGAGGUCCAUAUGACCAGUUAGUGAGCACAAUCAGAGUCAGCUGAAGUAGAGGAACUGCCUUGUCACUAGGCAGGCUCCUCUGUGCCGUCAUAUAUGUAGCUUCUCUGACUUGGUGGGUGGAAACCACACAGCACACAUCUUCCUGACAGUCCGACAUGGUGUCCUUCUCUCAGCUUGGCAGCCAUGACACCGGCCAGGUAAAAACUCCUGGUGGGAUGAAGCAUUUGGCAUAGCAGCAGGACGUGUGCACCUGCAAAAUCUG
This is a long non-coding RNA of Bos taurus (domestic cattle), 2099 nucleotides long. Lineage: Eukaryota; Metazoa; Chordata; Mammalia; Artiodactyla; Bovidae. The record is from Ensembl.